This 273-nucleotide ribosomal RNA is filed under the name uncultured Staphylococcus sp. Its description in RNAcentral is "partial 16S ribosomal RNA". It matches the Rfam family "Bacterial small subunit ribosomal RNA", at positions 89 to 354 of the family's 1533-position model. The record is from RNAcentral. Lineage: Bacteria; Bacillati; Bacillota; Bacilli; Caryophanales; Staphylococcaceae.
ACGCUAGCGGCGGACGGGUGAGUAACACGUGGGUAACCUACCUAUAAGACUGGGAUAACUUCGGGAAACCGGAGCUAAUACCGGAUAAUAUUUCGAACCGCAUGGUUCGAUAGUGAAAGAUGGUUUUGCUAUCACUUAUAGAUGGACCCGCGCCGUAUUAGCUAGUUGGUAAGGUAACGGCUUACCAAGGCGACGAUACGUAGCCGACCUGAGAGGGUGAUCGGCCACACUGGAACUGAGACACGGUCCAGACUCCUACGGGAGGCAGCAGGC